GCAGAAAACUUUAUUACAGACGGAAUACUUGACACACUAUGUGAGCUUUGCCUGCUACGGAGACCACCACCUCUGCCUGCGGUAUCGCUCAAUGCCGCUAGCCGGGUAAGGGGACAUCAAAAUCCGAACUAGGUGGAAAGCUAACGCUAGCUGUGCACCUGUCCCAGA
This is a long non-coding RNA of Etheostoma spectabile (orangethroat darter), 168 nucleotides long. RefSeq lists it as uncharacterized. Lineage: Eukaryota; Metazoa; Chordata; Actinopteri; Perciformes; Percidae. The transcript is spliced from 5 exons. The record is from RefSeq and is a predicted model, not a curated record.